UGGCUACUGUGUAAAUUCUUCAUCUAGAAGAAAGGGAGGUUCUGAAGUGUUGUUAGGUUUGUAAAAACAUGAAUCUUGAGAUUUUCAUACAUAAGUACAUUGGAUUGAUUGGAUAUUGGUCAGUAUAAUUAUGAAUUUUUUUUUACUAUGCUUAUACUUGGUUGAUUGGUUGUUUUGUUUUUGUCAGUAUAAACAUGAAUCUUGAGAUUGUUUUUUCACUAUCCAAUCAAUCCCCACCGACAUGCCUCACCUCUCUCAAGUCCCCGGGAUUCUUUCCACUGGAAAUGGAGUUUUCUCAUUCUUUGAGGUAGAGCAAAGUGAACCUUAAGAUAUGCCAGUAUUCUUAUGAGCUUCUGCUGCAAUAUUUACACAAGACACAAUCCAUUACAAUGCUUGGGAUUAUUAUUGAGCAUAUUAACUUUCAAGUUUCUCCUGGACAACCAAGCUCAAUUUCUGAUGAUGAAGGUGUUACACUUGUUGGGAGUGGCCAGGAUGCAGCUAAUAUGAUAAAUCAGAAAAAAAUACACUGGGGGCUGCAUCUUAGUUGCACGAAGCAGGAGCGGAAGCAGUGGCGGGGGCGGGAGCGGGGACGCGUGAGCUGAUAGAAGUUUCUUAGGUUGGGAGCGCCUCGGGGAACGAUUUUCCCUCUGCUGCUCUCCAGCCCUGUUCUUCUUCUUCCAUACCCUCGCUCCCGAAACUACUGCUCUCCAGAUAAAAGAGCGAUUGAUCCAGGUUACAUGCCAUAGGGAGGCCCGUGUCAAAAUUGAAGGAUUUUGUGCUGUAAUUAUUGGGAGUGAUGCCUUAAUCCACGCCUAAAUGGCAGAUGAUAUGAUGAUGUGUUUGCUUUUUGUUGAAUGCUGGUCUCCUCAGUGUCAUGGCCAAGAAACCCGAUUCUUUUGUAGUUUCUUGCCAUCUCUACAUAGUUUCAGAGAAUGCUGAUAAUGCCUGGGAGAAUCUUUGCCCCCUUUUGUAUAUCUUAGCUUUUAUUUUGGUCUUUUGUUAAUAUAUUCUUUAUUUAUGGAUCUAGUGGCCAAUUUGCAAUCUGACCAAUCUUUUUGGGUUUAGUUCAGAGGUAUUAACUUGUUAUAUAGUGGGAUAAUUUUGCUGAUGUGUUAUGAAUGGAAGAAUAUUUUUAUUAUGGAUGAAUUGUUAUUUUUAU
Non-coding RNA from Camellia sinensis, 1159 nucleotides. The record is from RefSeq and is a predicted model, not a curated record. NCBI's taxonomy places the organism in Eukaryota, Viridiplantae, Streptophyta, Magnoliopsida, Ericales, Theaceae.